Gavialis gangeticus (Gharial) is the source of this 123-nucleotide long non-coding RNA. RefSeq lists it as uncharacterized. The transcript has 3 exons. The record is from RefSeq and is a predicted model, not a curated record. Lineage: Eukaryota; Metazoa; Chordata; Crocodylia; Gavialidae.
CAUGAGUGACUGGUGCCUCCUGAAUCUGGGGGGGCAACCGCAGAAGCCACUGACAGUGGCAGCCCUGUCAGGAGGGGGGCACCAACCCUACCAACAGCAUCAGUCCUUGGGGGGGCACAUGCA